GUGCAAUGCGCAUGCUAUACAUGCAAGUCGAGCGAGACAUGAUCCAGGAGCUUGCUCCCUGAUGUUAGCGGCGGACGGGUGAGUAACACGUGGGUAACCUGCCUGUAAGACUGGGAUAACUCCGGGAAACCGGGGCUAAUACCGGAUGGUUGUUUGAACCGCAUGGUUCAAACAUAAAAGGUGGCUUCGGCUACCACUUACAGAUGGACCCGCGGCGCAUUAGCUAGUUGGUGAGGUAACGGCUCACCAAGGCAACGAUGCGUAGCCGACCUGAGAGGGUGAUCGGCCACACUGGGACUGAGACACGGCCCAGACUCCUACGGGAGGCAGCAGUAGGGAAUCUUCCGCAAUGGACGAAAGUCUGACGGAGCAACGCCGCGUGAGUGAUGAAGGUUUUCGGAUCGUAAAGCUCUGUUGUUAGGGAAGAACAAGUACCGUUCGAAUAGGGCGGUACCUUGACGGUACCUAACCAGAAAGCCACGGCUAACUACGUGCCAGCAGCCGCGGUAAUACGUAGGUGGCAAGCGUUGUCCGGAAUUAUUGGGCGUAAAGGGCUCGCAGGCGGUUUCUUAAGUCUGAUGUGAAAGCCCCCGGCUCAACCGGGGAGGGUCAUUGGAAACUGGGGAACUUGAGUGCAGAAGAGGAGAGUGGAAUUCCACGUGUAGCGGUGAAAUGCGUAGAGAUGUGGAGGAACACCAGUGGCGAAGGCGACUCUCUGGUCUGUAACUGACGCUGAGGAGCGAAAGCGUGGGGAGCGAACAGGAUUAGAUACCCUGGUAGUCCACGCCGUAAACGAUGAGUGCUAAGUGUUAAGGGGGUUUCCGCCCCUUAGUGCUGCAGCUAACGCAUUAAGCACUCCGCCUGGCGAGUACGGUCGCAAGACUGAAACUCAAAGGAAUUGACGGCGGCCCGCACAAGCGGUGGAGCAUGUGGUUUAAUUCAAAGCAACGCGAAGAACCUUACCAGGUCUUGACAUCCUCUGACAAUCCUAGAGAUAGGACGUCCCCUUCGGGGGCAGAGUGACAGGUGGUGCAUGGUUGUCGUCAGCUCGUGUCGUGAGAUGUUGGGUUAAGUCCCGCAACGAUCGCAACCCUUGAUCUUAGUUGCCAGCAUUCAGUUGGGCACUCUAAAGUGACUGCCGGUGACAAACCGGAAGAAAGGUGGGGGAUGACUUCCAAUCAUCCUGCCCCUUAUCACCUGGGCUUAAAAGGUGCCGCCAAUGGACUUAGCAAGGGGACCAAAACCACCAAGGUUAAGCAAGCCCCCGAAUUCGUUUCUCAUUCGGAAACCAACUUCCCCAAUCUACUUGCUUGAUACUGGAAUCCCUUCUUAAAUGGAG
This 1339-nucleotide ribosomal RNA is filed under the name Bacillus subtilis. RNAcentral's name for it is "bacterial SSU rRNA". It matches the Rfam family "Bacterial small subunit ribosomal RNA", at positions 37 to 1347 of the family's 1533-position model. Lineage: Bacteria; Bacillati; Bacillota; Bacilli; Caryophanales; Bacillaceae. The record is from RNAcentral.